Xiphophorus hellerii (green swordtail) is the source of this 771-nucleotide long non-coding RNA. RefSeq lists it as uncharacterized. Lineage: Eukaryota; Metazoa; Chordata; Actinopteri; Cyprinodontiformes; Poeciliidae. The transcript is spliced from 2 exons. The record is from RefSeq and is a predicted model, not a curated record.
GCGUUGCCUCCGCGCGUUGCCUCCGCGCGUUGCCUCCGCGCGUUGCCUCACAGGCUGUCGCUGCUUGCUCUCUUUAAGUUUACCUCAGCACAGAUUGCAUUCCCCCUUUCACUCAAACUGGACACAGGCUGACCUGUAUGGAUCAACCCCCUGUGAGGAAUCGUGUUUCUUUGGAGAACUUUACAUCAGGACCUGACCAGAGAAUCAAAGAUCGGAAACAUCUUCAAACUGAACUCACCGGAGGUGCAGUGUGUGGAGAGGAGGACCAUGACGAGAGAUGUUUGGAGCUUCAUUCUGUCAAAUACAAAAAGAAAAAUGUCCAGUUCAGUUUGUCGGGGUGUAUCCAGCUAUUCCUCCUGUUUUAUUCUCUCUUACAAUACUGAGUUGACCUGAAAGCGCCGCUUUUAGAGCUGAGGCUCGGCGCUGGGUUUGACCAAAUAAGGGCUGUCCGGCUAUGACGUCAAUAGACUACAUUUAUAGCUGCGUGCUGCACUGAUUACGUGAUUCAUCCAUAUUAGUGUAAUCUGCUGCACAAUACAGAGAUGUCAUGGAAAAGGAAUGCUCUCCUUUAAUCGUCGUUAUUAUUAUUAUUAUUAUUAUUAUUAUUAUUAUUAUUAUUAUUAUUAUUAUUAUUAUUAGUGCACCAAUCAUGUUAGCAGUAUGUUGGAGAAAGAUCAAAUAAAUCUUUAUUGCCAUUGUAGCGACACUCAGUCUACUGCAAGGUUCACAGAGAAAAAUGAUGCCCAGAAUAAAAUGAGUGCAUAAAUAGUA